This 348-nucleotide unclassified non-coding RNA is filed under the name Hevea brasiliensis (rubber tree). Lineage: Eukaryota; Viridiplantae; Streptophyta; Magnoliopsida; Malpighiales; Euphorbiaceae. The record is from RNAcentral.
GCAGAUGAACUUCCUUUUAAGUCCUUUCCACAGCAGAGAACAAGUUCUCAAAGAUAACAAAGACGACUAUGGCAUGCUUUUGCCGGAGCCACCUUGUCGGAAUUCCUGGUAGUCCCUGUUUUUCCGAGAAGCCAAACCGAAGCUACUGCCACCACUCUUGGCGAAGCGUCUUCUUGGGAAAAAGCCAAAAUUUUCAACAACGGGAAAUGGUGAAGUUGGGAGUGAGAACAAGGCCCAUGAUAGUGAUCAGGUGCGAGAAAGUGGUGGGGAUCGACUUGGGAACGACGAAUUCUGCGGUAGCGGCGAACGAGGGUGGGAAACCAGUUAUAGUGACGAACUCGGAAGGGC